Molecule: ribosomal RNA, 253 nt
Filed under: uncultured bacterium
Lineage: Bacteria
Description: partial 16S ribosomal RNA
Rfam family: Bacterial small subunit ribosomal RNA
Source: RNAcentral
UACGGAGGAUCCGAGCGUUAUCCGGAAUCAUUGGGUUUAAAGGGUCCGUAGGCGGGCGUCUAAGUCAGUGGUGAAAUUCUGCAGCUCAACUGUAGAACUGCCAUUGAUACUGGUCGCCUUGAAUCGUUGUGAAGUGGCUAGAAUAUGUAGUGUAGCGGUGAAAUGCUUAGAUAUUACAUAGAAUACCGAUUGCGAAGGCAGGUCACUAACAACGCAUUGACGCUGAUGGACGAAAGCGUGGGGAGCGAACAGG